CUACGGGAGGCACCAGUGGGGAAUCUUAGACAAUGGGCGCAAGCCUGAUCUAGCCAUGCCGCGUGAGUGAUGAAGGCCCUAGGGUCGUAAAGCUCUUUCGCCAGGGAUGAUAAUGACAGUACCUGGUAAAGAAACCCCGGCUAACUCCGUGCCAGCAGCCGCGGUAAUACGGAGGGGGUUAGCGUUGUUCGGAAUUACUGGGCGUAAAGCGCACGUAGGCGGAUUAGUCAGUCAGAGGUGAAAUCCCAGGGCUCAACCCUGGAACUGCCUUUGAUACUCCUAGUCUCGAGUUCGAGAGAGGUGAGUGGAAUUCCGAGUGUAGAGGUGAAAUUCGUAGAUAUUCGGAGGAACACCAGUGGCGAAGGCGGCUCCCUGGCUCGAUACUGACGCUGAGGUGCGAAAGUGUGGGGAGCAAACAGGAUUAGAUACCCUGGUAGUCCACACCGUAAACGAUGAAUGCCAGUCGUCGGGCAGUAUACUGUUCGGUGACACACCUAACGGAUUAAGCAUUCCGCCUGGGGAGUACGGUCGCAAGAUUAACACUCAG
RNAcentral lists this ribosomal RNA (547 nucleotides) under Rhodobacteraceae bacterium enrichment culture DGGE band M81B1. RNAcentral's name for it is "bacterial SSU rRNA". It matches the Rfam family "Bacterial small subunit ribosomal RNA", at positions 339 to 904 of the family's 1533-position model. Lineage: Bacteria; Pseudomonadati; Pseudomonadota; Alphaproteobacteria; Rhodobacterales; Paracoccaceae. The record is from RNAcentral. RNAcentral also lists the same sequence under 1 other name.